This 450-nucleotide ribosomal RNA is filed under the name uncultured bacterium. RNAcentral's name for it is "bacterial SSU rRNA". It matches the Rfam family "Bacterial small subunit ribosomal RNA", at positions 354 to 796 of the family's 1533-position model. The record is from RNAcentral.
GUGGGGAAUAUUGGACAAUGGGCGAAAGCCUGAUCCAGCCAUGCCGCGUGUGUGAAGAAGGUCUUCGGAUUGUAAAGCACUUUAAGUUGGGAGGAAGGGCAGUAAGUUAAUACCUUGCUGUUUUGACGUUACCAACAGAAUAAGCACCGGCUAACUUCGUGCCAGCAGCCGCGGUAAUACGAAGGGUGCAAGCGUUAAUCGGAAUUACUGGGCGUAAAGCGCGCGUAGGUGGUUUUGUAAGUUGGAGGUGAAAUCCCCGGGCUCAACCUGGGAACUGCCUCCAAAACUGCAUGACUAGAGUACGGUAGAGGGUAGUGGAAUUUCCUGUGUAGCGGUGAAAUGCGUAGAUAUAGGAAGGAACACCAGUGGCGAAGGCGACUACCUGGACUGAUACUGACACUGAGGUGCGAAAGCGUGGGGAGCAAACAGGAUUAGAUACCCCGGUAGUCC